GAGCAGGAGUGGAUUGGGAGUGUGAAGAAAAACAAACACGAAGCUUCGUUCCUCAGCAAAGUGUUCACUUCUUUUUCGCCAGGUUUCAUUCGAUUUGUUGUGGAUUGUAUGAUGGAAAAACCAACAAGCUACGACUUCAAAGCUUACCUUAUUUAGAAAAUGAAAAAGGGCUUUUUUUAAUAGAUGUUGAGGUUGAGUAAGAGGGGCAGAGCUUGAAGAGCGAAGCGAGCCGCGCUAGCCUAGCAAUGUUUUUCAGCAGCAAGCUAUGGUCUAAUGACCCCCUAACCUAGGUUGGGGCAAAAACUCCAAAAUUCAAAAUGUUGGUUAGGGUUUCAAACCUUUCUCUAAUAAUAAGGUAAACUUUCAAGCCGACGCCCUUUAAAGGAGUGGGGCGCAGUGAACUGUAAUUAUGAAAAGAUUGGAAGAUCUGGCCAAAGAAGGUGAUAGCCCUGUAGAUUUGUUCCCAUGGUUCGAUCCUUCCCAGUAAAAUGCGACGUGUUUGAAUUCUAAGCCUAAGUAUUCCUCAAUGACCAAUAGCGUACAAGUACCGUGAGGGAAAUGCGAAAAGAAUACUAUUUAGGGAGUGUAAUAGAGAACCUGAGAUCCGAUGCAAACAAUCAGUCGAAGGAGCGGAGCUUAGAGCCAUUACUUUAUGUAAAAUUCACUUACUCUAACGACAUACCUUUUGCAUGAUGGGUCAGCGAGGAAAUGGGAACCGCGGCUUUAGCCAUUAGGUGUAGGCGCUUUCCAGAGGUGGAAUCUUCUAGUUCUUCCUAUUUGACCCGAAAUCAAUCGAUCUAGCCAUAAGCAGGUUGAAGAGAGCUCUAAUAGGCCUUAGAGGACCGAACCCAUGUAUGUGGAAAAAUACGGGGAUGAUUUGUGGCUAGGGGUGAAAGUCCAACCAAGAUCGAAUAUAGCUAGUUUUCUGUGAAAUCUAUUUCAGUAGAGCGUAUGAUGUCGAUGGCCCGUGGUACAACACUCAAUGGGCUAGGGUGACCUCAGUUUUCCUUACCAACCUAGGGAAACUCCGAAUACAGGCCUAGUUCAUUUGUAUAAAUAGACUUUUUGGGUGCUAAAAUCCAAAGUCGAGAGGAAAACAACCCAGAUCGUACGCUAAGGUCCCUAAGCAAUCACUUAGUGGAAAAGGAAGUGAUCGAGCGAUGACAACUAGGAGGUGGUCUUGGAAGAAGCCAUCCUUUGAAUAAAGCGUAAUAGCUCACUGGUCUAGCUCCAUGGCACCGAAAAUGUAUCAUGGCUCAAGUGAUUCACCGAAGCGACGAGACCUUGAAAGAUGCUUUUUUAAGUGUCAGUAGUGGAACAUUCUGUCAAUUGGGGAAGGUUUUUGGUGACAAGACAUUGAGAUAUCAGAAGUGAGAAUGCUGACAUGAGUAAUGAAAAAUCCUGUGAAAUACAAGUUCGCCUUCCAGUGGAAGGUUUUCUGCAUUCAGUCAAUCUACACAGAGUGGAUCGAUCCCUAAGAAACCCUCGAAAGGGCUGUCAUCUAAUGGGUACAUGAAAGUGACGAAGUUGCUUUGACUACAGACCCAUGCCUGUCUAUUCGAGAGAAUUGGAUGAUCGGGCCGAGGGCUGCCCCCUCUUCCCCUCACCCUCUUUUUCCUAAUAUGAACCUUGAGUCAUCAAAGCCUUUCGGACUCGAACUGUCCAGGUCGCCCUACGCGACUCGCACUUCAAAAGGCAAAACUCUCGGUCGUAGUUUGACAACUUAUCUUCAGUGGCGGCCUUUAGUCUUUUGAUUAUAGUAGGGGUCGCGAGAGAGUAGAGCGUAUCGCCCUACCAUAGUCAUGAGUCUGUUUAUAGUCGCGACUGUUGUCAUAGUCAACAAGGUUGAAACUUCCAGGAAAAAACUUUGAAUUGGGAGGGCGAUCCUCCCAGUGAACUGACCGUACCCCAAACAGACACAGGUGAAUGAUAGAGUAUACUAGGGCGCUUGAGAGAACCAUGUCGAAGGAACUCGGCAAAAUGACCCCGUAACUCAGGGAGAAUGGGUGCUCUCCUAUCUUUUGAUUAGGAAAGCUACACAUAACAGGGGUUAGCGAUUGUUUAUUAAUAACACAGGACUUUGCUAAGUGGUAACAUGAUGUAUAGAGUCUGACACUUGCUCGGUGUUGGAAGGUCGGGAGGAGAAGUGUUAUAAGCUUUGAAUGGAAGCCCCGGUAAAUGGCAGCAGUAACUCUAACUGUCCUAAGGUAGCAAAAUUCCUUGUCGCAUAAGUAGCGAUCUGUACGAAUGGUAUAACAACUGCCCCGCUAUCUCCGACAUGGACCCAGUGAAAUUGAAUUCUAUGUGAAGAUGCGGAGUACCAAAGGCUAGAGGGUAAGACCCCAUUCACCCUUAACUAUAGCUUCACAGUGACAACCUUAAUCGAAUGUGUAGGAUAUGUGGGAUGUGGUGGCACACAAUGACCAAUCCUGAAAGAUCACUCUUUCAUCUAAGGAUGCCUAACCGUNACCUUAAUCGAAUGUGUAGGAUAGGUGGGAGGUGGUGACACACAACGACCAAUCCUGAAAGACCACUCUUUCGUCUAAGGAUGCCUAACCGCCGCACCGAUCAUUCGGGGGGAGGCGGGACACUGCGAGGUGGGUAGUUUAUCUGGGGCGGAUGCCUCCUAAAGAGUAACGAAGGUGUGUGAAGGUAGGCUCAAGCUAAUAUUCUGCUCGUGAGCGUAAUGGUAUAAGCCUGCCUGACUGUGAGACCGACUGGUCGAACAUAGACGAAAGUCGGCCAUUUUGAUCCGGGAGUCCCGUAUGGAAGGGUUUUCGGUCAACGGAUCAAAGGUACGCCGAGGAUAACAUGCUAAUGACUCCCAAGAGCUCUUAUCUAUGGAGUCAUUUGGCACCUCGAUGUCAACUCAUCAUAUCAUGGGGUUGAAGAAGGUCCCAAGUGUUCGGUUGUUCGCCGAUUCAAGUGGUACGUGAGUUAGGUUUAGAACAUCGUGAGACAGUUCGGUUCCUAUCUACUAUUGGUGUUAAAGGGAGAACUGCGAGGAGCCAACCCUAGUACGAGAGGACUGGGUUGGGCUAACCUAGGGUGUACCGGUUGUUAUGCCAAUAACAGCGCCGAGCAACUAAGUUGGUAUGGAAGAACUGCAGCGCCGCGGGAAAUUCUUUUCUAUACAAGUUCUCGGACGAGGUUUUUAAAUAGAACUUCGAUAGGUGAGAGGUGUAAGCACCGCGAGGUGUGAAGCAAUAUCGUACUAAAUAAAACGACUUUCACUU
Molecule: ribosomal RNA, 3236 nt
Filed under: Nicotiana tabacum (common tobacco)
Lineage: Eukaryota; Viridiplantae; Streptophyta; Magnoliopsida; Solanales; Solanaceae
Description: bacterial LSU rRNA
Rfam family: Bacterial large subunit ribosomal RNA
Source: RNAcentral